AUGACGUCAAAUCAUCAUGCCCUUAUGUCUAGGGCUACACACGUGCUACAAUGGUGAGGACAAAGAGACGCAAGACCGCGGGUGGAGCAAAUCUCACAAACCUACAUCCCAGUUCGGAUUGCAGGCUGAAACUCGCCUGCAUGAAGCCGGAGUUGCUAGUAAUCGCGAAUCAGCAUGUCGCGGUGAAUACGUUCCCGGGCCUU
RNAcentral lists this ribosomal RNA (203 nucleotides) under uncultured Clostridium sp. RNAcentral's name for it is "partial 16S ribosomal RNA". It matches the Rfam family "Bacterial small subunit ribosomal RNA", at positions 1179 to 1382 of the family's 1533-position model. Lineage: Bacteria; Bacillati; Bacillota; Clostridia; Eubacteriales; Clostridiaceae. The record is from RNAcentral.